CGUUUUACCAAAAAAAAAAAAAAAAAAAAAAAAACAAUUUUUAAAAUGCGUAUGUGCCAAAAAAAGGUUAAUCUUUAUAUCAUUUCCUUUGUGCAUGAAUGUAAAAUUUUUUAACAUUAUAACUGAUCAUUAAUUAAGCUGAUAUGUUUACAUAUUUGCAAAAGUAUAUGAGUAUAUAAUUCUAUAUACUCGCAAAAUAUAUGUCAUAACUAAAUAUAUUUAUUUACGUUCACUCGUAUGCAUUUGCGAAUAUAAGCAUCUGUAUAUAUGUACAUAUAUAUAUAUAUGCACAAUUAUAUACGCACGUAAAAAAAAAAAAAAGAAAAAAAAAAAAAAAAAAUUUUUAUAAAAAUAAUAAAAAUAAAAAUAAAAAUAAAAAUAAAUAUGUAUGUACCGAAAUAAAAAAUGCAAAAGUCUUAUAAGCAAAAAAAAAACACCGAACAACAUGAUGAUAGUAAAAAAAAAGGUAGCAAUGAUAAUAUGUCCAAUUUAAUGCACCUAAAAAUAAGAAACGAAAAUGUACAUAUAAAAAAUAUUAUAAGAACAACUCAUUAUGUAUAUAGUAAUAUAUAUGACGCUGACACAGGGUUAAGUUAUAUAAAAGAUGUUUUAAGAAAUAUAAUUAAGGGUGAUGUGUAUGAUAUUGAUUUUAAAAGAUAUGUAAACGAAUUUUGUAUUUACGAACUAUGUGCUAGGCUUAUUUUUAAUAUUAUUAAGAAUACAUCAAAAGAUGAAUAUUUAAAUCGGUUAGUUGAUUUUUUAUUUGAUAUGUUAUAUUACUGUGAUAUAUUAUUAAGCGAAAAGAAAACAAAAAAAGACAAACAAAUAAAAAGUAGUGCGUCUAUAUUAGCUAAUAACACUACUACUACUACUACGAGUAGUGAUAGUAACAGUACGACUCAAGAGUUCAUUUUGAUUACAAAACUAUGGAAUCGUUUGUUAGACAAUAUUUAUAUUAAAGACAGGAAACAAAGAAUAAACUUGUGUAAAGUGGUUAAAGAAUUAGUAAAAAAAGCAUGUUCUCUACAAAUUGAUAUAUCUGAUAAACUAUGUAAAAAACAUGUUAAUACAUUUUUGUCAUUAUUAAAUGAUAAAGAUCAUAAUGUACGUAUGUUAUGUUUAAUAAUUUUAGAACCCUUUCAAGAUAUGAAUACUAGAGGUAGCUAUUUAAAAUGUUUAGAAGAUUUACAUAGUGGAGUAAGAAUACAAGCAAUAAAAAAUAUGAUGAUUAAUAUAGAUAAUAAUAAUAAUAAUAAUAAUAAUAAUAACUAUGAUUAUUUAAUUGUAUUAAGAAACUUAUUAGUUAGAGUUAAUGACAUAAAUCAUAAUGUAAGAGUAAGCGUGUAUGAAAAAUUAAAAAACUACUAUUCUUAUAUUCCAAGCGAUAUGAAAUUUGAAUUAUUACUAUGUGGUUUGAACGAUAAAAAUAAGAUUGUAAGGGAUAGUUGUUAUAACAUGAUUAUACAUUGGACUCAUUUGUUUGAUGAUCAAAUAGAAAAACUUUUAUUACAUAUGAUUAGUAGUGAUAUUGAUAAUGAUGUUAUAAUCGAACAUAUAUGUAAAAUUCAUUUAAAUAUUAUUUGUAAGGGUAUUAUUAAUAGUACAACAGAUUUCGAAUUAAACGAAUCUAAAGGAGGUGGGGGGGAACAUAUAAAAAAAACAUGUCUUUCGAAUAAUACGUUUUUGCGUACGUCUGUGCAUGAUAAUGACAGUGGAGAUAAUGGCGAUAAUGGCGACUUAGGUAUAGAACAAAGUAUUGGUACAAAUAAUCGUAAUGGCGUGGGUGAUAGUACGUAUGAUAGCCCAUAUAACGAAGAAUGGUUUGUCAAUUGUAUUAACAACCUGCUUGUAUUAAACACAGCUGAGUUAUACAUAUUACGUGUUUAUAUUCAACAUUUUGCCAGUGAAAUUGAAAAGGAAAAAAUAGAUGUUAUACAACUUUUACAAGUAAUAUAUUAUUAUUUAUAUUUUAGUAGAUUAAAUGAAAACUUAUAUUAUAAUAGAAAACAUUACAUUAAUUAUAUUGAAAACAAAGAAGAUGACACAUUUGAACGUCAACACAUGUAUUGUACAUGUGGUAAAAGUAAGAAAGAUCAGAUUGUAUUAGAGCAAGAAAGACAAGAGAAAUUUAUCGAAACAAAUGUAUUUGAUACAUAUUAUUGUGAUAAGUGCUUAUAUUAUAAAGUAGUACAUGAUAGUAAUAACCAAACAAAUGGAAAUGAGUCACUUGAACAAACUUUAAUAAUAAACGAAGACAAUAUAAAUGAAAACUAUACAUAUAUAUGUAACAUAAAAAAUCUAUUAAUUAUUUGCAAACAACUUGAUAUAAUAGAAACAUAUCAAAUAGAAAAAAUCAUAGAAUGUUGUUCCAAUAUUUUAUUAAAAGCACCACUAAGAGAAGUUAUAGUAAAAUGUAUGCUGAAUAAUACAGGUGUAAAUUAUUAUAAAUUACAAAAAGGACAUAUUACAUGCGCAUAUUGGCUAGUUAACAGUUAUAUUUAUUCUUGUUUAGACUUAUUAAAACAUAUGAUUUAUCUGAAAAAUAAAAAUUUGAAUAUGAUUGACAUAGAAAUGAGUUUCACUAAUCAGAUAUUGACUAUCAUAUCGGAUAUAAAAGAACCGUUUGAGAGUAGUGACAAUGAUGCUGUGUUUAUGCAUAAUGAUGUGGUAAGAUUUGAAGAGGAAGAAGAACAGAGUCAGAAGCAGGACUUAAGUCAGAAGCAGGACUUAAGUCAGAAGCAGGACCUAAGUCAGAAGCAGGACCUAAGUCAGAAGCAGGACCUAAGUCAGAAGCAGGACCUAAGUCAAAAGUAUGACCUAAACCAUAAGCAGGAUCAAAGUCAGAAACAAAAGCAGGAUGCGCGAAAUGAUAUAGAUCAAACUGAUAACGCGGAGAGACCACGACGUGUAAGCAUUUCCAAUGGGGACGCUAAAAAAACGAACACGUUAGGAAGCAUAUUUAAUGAUAUACUAAGUGUAGAAAACGAUUCUAUUUUUGACAUAAUAAGAAAAAAAAAUUUGAGUAGCCUUUCAAUCGAACAUUUAUUGCUGUUAUGUAAAAAAAUGCACCACAAGUUGGACGGGACUGAAGCUAAGAUAAAAGAUUUAAGUGAUAUGGAGAGAGAAAAAAAAGCUGAGAUGGAAAAUGAAAGUCCUAAAAAAGAAGACAGUGGUAUUGCCAAUGGUAUUACCAGUGGUAUUGCCAAUGGUAUUGCCAGUGGUAUUGCCAGUGGUAGUAAUAAUUUUGACAAUAACAAUUCUACAAUCGAAAAUUCACUUUAUGGUCAACAAAUACAAAUAAAUACAAGUAUUUUUUUAAAACAAUUUUCCAUGUUAUGUUUAUUAAGAUUAGAGUUAAAAAGAAGAUGGCUUCGUAUUUUGCUAAUAUUAGAAUCUUUCUUAUGCAAAUGUAAAUCCCAUUGUGAUUAUGACUCAGGUUUGCGUGAAUUUCCUAAUGAGUUGCUUUUACCAGCGUUAAAUUUUUGUUGUUCUGUUAUGCCUGAAUGGGACGAUAAAGAAAUAGAAGACCAGUUUUAUGACAUCAUUGUUUCUAAGUGUUUAGGUAGUUGGUGUAUGUUUAUAAGUAAUGGAGAGGAAUUAAAAAAGCAGAUAUAUGCAUAUAAAACUGCUAUAGUACAAACAUGUGAUGUGUUGAAUAGUUGUUUAGUUAAUAUAGAGAAUAUACAUUUAAAAGUAUUUCCAAAAACAUAUCAAAAAGCAAACAUUGAUAUAAUAAAUAUCUCUGAUAAGGUUUCUAUUGCGUCUACUAAUACAACUAGCAAUAGUGCGAAUAACAAAAAGAACAAUAGUAAUAAUAUGAACUACGAACGAGAAUUAUAUAGCAAUAGUAAUAAUAGUAGUAGUAGUAAUAAUAAUAAUAGUGGUAGUAAUAAUAAUAAUAGUGGUAGUAAUAAUAAUAAUAAUAAUAAUAGUGGUAGUAGUAAUAAUAAUAGUGGUAGAAACAUAAAAAAAAACGAAAAUGAAUUAGAUAUAACAAACAAUAAUAAUUAUAUAUUUUAUGAAUACAAUCCACCUAAUGAAUGUUUACUAAAAUAUUUUGCCACUAAUCAAAAUACAUGGUACGAAUAUAAAGAUUUAUUGGAGAAGUUAGAAAUCAAUUCAUUACGUUUUGAGAUAUAUAUAUGUGUGUUAAGCGAUUUAUUAAUGACACAUCCAAAUUUUCAUAAUGAUACUUUAAUUUUAGAAGCCAUUGAAAAUUUAUGGUGUUAUUUAACAGGAAGUAUUAAGACUAGUAAAUAUAUUCAAUCUAUUUGCUUAAGAGUUUGUUGUAAAUUGUUACUAACAGAAUAUUUGGGACAACAUAUUAUACUAAUGUCAGAAGAUGAGUUGUAUAAAGUAAUGAAAAAAUCAGCAACAAAAUUAAGAACAUUAUUUGAAAUGUGUUUUUUAAUAUCACCGUCUACAUAUAAUUGUGUUCAAGAUUUUAAAAAAAUUAGUACAUCUUUUAUUACAAACAUAAAUGCACAUGAUAAAAUAUAUCUUUUUUCUGUUUUUUCAAUAUACCCUUCUAUUACGGAAUAUAAUUUAAUCAUUUUUCAUUACACUUUUGAAGAUCUUAUACUGAAGACAUGUGAAGAUGUGGUAAAAUAUAAAUUAAAAAAAAUGAAUUAUACUAACAUACUCACUUUUGUAGUGUUUACGAUUUUACAUAAAGCAAGUAUUAACUUUCUAGCUUUAAAUUUUGUGAAAUAUAUUAAAUGGUUGCUAUUAAUCAUAAUUGAAAAAGGUUUAAUGUUAACCAACAGAUCUAACAUUAUUGAACUGGUAUAUAAGAUUGUGUAUAUUUAUUUAUUCAAUGACAUAAAUAAUAUUAAAAAUAUACAUAAGACACAUAUAAGUGAAGAAAAACAAGUGAAAAAAAGAGGUAGAAAAAAAAAAAUAACAACUGAAUCGGAUGGUAUAAAUUUAGACAGUGGUAGCACAGCAGAAGGUACUAAUUUGGGUUUAGUAGGAGAAGAUACAAAGUUAAAAAAAAAAAGUUAUAUGAACACAACACAUGGAAACAAACAACAAGAUACACAAAUAAACCAAGAUAUUGACACUAGUAUGAACCAUAAUCCUAAUCUAUUAUCACCAAGAGAAGCGGAUGAAAAAAACACCAUUUUGUACAAAAGUGUACAGACAAAUGUUAAUAAUACAAUGAAAAAUUUAAAAAUAUUAUUUGUUCUAAUCAAUUUUUGUAUGCACUCAUCUGAUGUUAUUAAAACGAAAAGCGAAAUACGCUAUUGUGAACUUAUGAAAGAAUCUAUAGAAGCGAAAAUAGAGGAAAUUAAAAUACAUUUUAUAAAUAAUGGACUUGUUGUCACAGGUAAAACAGAAUCAGGAGGAGGAAUUCAAAAGGUAAGUAGAGCAAGUGGGUCUAUCAACAUGGACAACACGGAAAGCAAGGACAACACGGAAAGCAAGGACAACACGGAAAGCAAGGACAACACGGAAAGCAAGGACAACACGGAAAGCAAGGAUAACACAGAAAAUAGAGACAGCACAGAAAAUAGAGACAACACAGAAAACAAUAACUUGUUUGAUGUAAACGAGUUUGAAUCGCUAAGCGAAGAACAUAUAUAUGGUGAAAUUAUUGAAGAAUAUGCUAAUUACAUAGAAACACUGACAUUAAGAAAACUAGCAUAUCCACUGAAACCUAAAGGUGGUUUAUAUGCAAAAAAUGUAGAAGACGAAAUGACAAGACAUGAAAUACUUACACAGAUAGGUGGGACUGACAAUUCUUUGGAUGUAUUAGUUACACCUGACCAAGAAUCUACUGCUAGUACUACAAAAAAACAUGUACGUACAAAUACAAGUAUGAACGAGCACCCGAAUGAUAUUUUAAGAAGUGUACGUACGGAGCAAAAAACGUAUGAACACACCAAAGAUUAUUUUUGGGAUGCACAUGAAGAUAAGGCUUCUAGUGAUAAACAUAAUAACAUAAUAAACAUAAAACAAAUGAAUAAUAAUUAUACUGAAGAAACAAAUUUAAAUAAUGCUAAUCAUACAGCAGAUCCUAUCCCUACUUAUAAUACUAAUAGUAAUAAUGAUAUAAUUACAAAUAAUAUAAAAUAUAAAUAUGGAAAACAAAAUAGCCUAGAAACCAUUUUGAGCUAUGAACAGAACAACUCUAUAAAUAUGAAAAACACAAGUAUAGAAUGUACAGAUAAUAAUAGUAAUAGUAAUAGUACUAGCCAUAAUAAAAAAAGAAAAAUGAAUAAAGAAGAAACCGAAACGGAGAUAGAUAUAGAAUCUGAUCGUGAAACAUUGACAGAAAAUAAUAAUAAUUUAAUAUUUGAUAGAAAUAAUAAUAACCACAUAAAUCAUAAUGGUAAGAGUAACAACCUUCAUAACAAAAUGAAUGACAUUAUAGAUAACGCCAUUGGUAAUAGUUACGGUUUCAAUUUAGACCCUAAUAACAUUAAUGGUAAUAUUAACAACAAAUUGGCUGCGCUUAAUUUAAGUUCAAGUGAAAGUGAGAGUGAAAAAAAUUGUUAUUAAUUCAAGUUUAAAUGAUUAUGAAAAUAAAAAAAAAAAUUAUAAAGAUGAUAUGUUUGAU
Molecule: long non-coding RNA, 6562 nt
Filed under: Piliocolobus tephrosceles (Ugandan red Colobus)
Lineage: Eukaryota; Metazoa; Chordata; Mammalia; Primates; Cercopithecidae
Description: lncRNA (ENSPTEG00000007310.1)
Source: RNAcentral